Populus trichocarpa (black cottonwood) is the source of this 536-nucleotide long non-coding RNA. RefSeq lists it as uncharacterized. The transcript has 3 exons. Lineage: Eukaryota; Viridiplantae; Streptophyta; Magnoliopsida; Malpighiales; Salicaceae. The record is from RefSeq and is a predicted model, not a curated record.
UGUUGAUAAAGGUUGCGUCUUCUACAAGCAUUUUCAAGUGGGCGGCAUGGGGGAUGGAAUUGACAAGGCCAUGACCAGUCCUCGCAUAUCAAGUGACCCGGGAAGGUGGAGAAGGGGGUCUCCUAGGGUUUCAGCUGAUAUAAUGUUCAAGUAGACGUGGAGUGAUCACUGCCGUGUAUAUUGUGAGAGACAAUUAAUGUCGACUGGAGUAUCCUAGUCUUUCGUGAAAUUAUUCCCCUAUCCACCGGCCUCUUUCUCACUGGAAUUUUCAUGUGAGGUUCGAUUUUCCACUGAUCAGGUGUUUCAAUUUGAAAGGCCUAUCCAAGAUAUUUCUGUUUCUAUUUAAUUACCACUGAUUCAGAAUUCUCAGUUUCCAUUCACACGGUACGGUACGUGUUAUCGGUUCCAGAGCCUCCACCACCUAGCUAGAUCGAUUAUGCAGAUUUUCUUAAUUUUUGGCCAAUACUUCAGACAAUUUUUGUGCAAUGUACGUUUAUUUAACCAUAUAUAUGUACUAGUCAGAUAUCAAAUUAAAA